CCUACGGGGGGCUGCAGUAGGGAAUCUUCCACAAUGGGCGAAAGCCUGAUCGAGCAACGCCGCGUGGGUGAAGAAGGUCUUCGGAUCGUAAAACCCUGUUGUUAGAGAAGAAAGUGCGUGAGGGUAACUGUGCACGUUUCGACGGUAUCUAACCAGAAAGCCACGGCUAACUACGUGCCAGCAGCCGCGGGAAUACGUUGGUGGCAAGCGUUAUCCGGAUUUGUUGGGCGUAAAGGGAACGCAGGCGGGCUUUUAAGUCUGAUGUGAAAGCCUUCGGCUUAACCGGAGUAGUGCAUUGGAAACUGGGAUACUUGAGUGCAGGAGAGGCGAGUGGAACUCCAUGUGUAGCGGUGAAAUGCGUAGAUAUAUGGAAGAACACCAGUGGCGAAGGCGGCUCUCUGGUCUGUAACUGACGCUGAGGUUCGAAAGCGUGGGUAGCAAACAGGAUUAGAUACCCUUGUAGUC
This 465-nucleotide ribosomal RNA is filed under the name uncultured bacterium. RNAcentral describes it as "partial 16S ribosomal RNA". It matches the Rfam family "Bacterial small subunit ribosomal RNA", at positions 338 to 795 of the family's 1533-position model. The record is from RNAcentral.